RNAcentral lists this microRNA precursor (103 nucleotides) under Marmota monax (woodchuck). The record is from RNAcentral. Lineage: Eukaryota; Metazoa; Chordata; Mammalia; Rodentia; Sciuridae.
AGUGGGAUAGCUGGGUCAAAUGGUGAUUCCAUUCCAAGUUUUCUAAGGAAUCUGCAUACUGCUUUCCAGAUUGGUUGCACCAAUUUGCAGUCUCACCAGCAAU